GGGCACAUGGUGUAGUUGGUUAUCACGCCCGCUUAGCAUAUAGCUGUUUGCGGGCGGUCCCCGGUUCAAUUCCGGGUGUGUCCA
Molecule: non-coding RNA, 84 nt
Organism: Tricholoma furcatifolium
Lineage: Eukaryota; Fungi; Basidiomycota; Agaricomycetes; Agaricales; Tricholomataceae
Source: the annotation of a GenBank genome assembly